Molecule: long non-coding RNA, 254 nt
Filed under: Gallus gallus (chicken)
Lineage: Eukaryota; Metazoa; Chordata; Aves; Galliformes; Phasianidae
Description: lncRNA (ENSGALG00010013939.1)
Source: RNAcentral
CUUCUUGUUCCCAGCCUAAAUCCUUUCUCCUUUUCAUCUCUCCCUGAGGAUACAAACAGGAUUCUGCUGCCCCUGACCACUCUGCAAGUCCAGCAUAUUAUGAAGCAUGGAUAAAUUUCCAGCAGUUUCCAUUUUCCUUUCUGGACUCUUUGGAGAUAAGUGACCUGUGACUCCUCUGGCAAGGCACAUUAAGUAUUAUGAAUCCAUUCAAUAUAUUAGCUGAUAUUUUCAUGAAAAUUUCUUUUGGAGUUUCC